Molecule: long non-coding RNA, 1452 nt
Filed under: Sus scrofa (pig)
Lineage: Eukaryota; Metazoa; Chordata; Mammalia; Artiodactyla; Suidae
Description: lncRNA (ENSSSCG00050008818.1)
Source: RNAcentral
AGGAAAAAAAAAAAAAAAAGACAGACUCUUGAUACAAAAAAAAUGACCAGAGCCUCUCGUUCUACUCACGCUCCGUUUAAAGGAUCUAGAGGCCAAAUGUCCGCUGGGCCACGUCUGUUCCUUGUGAUGACCACUCCCUCCCGGGGGGUCGUGCCACCAACGAUGUAAUAAACAUCAGCGAUAAGGGGCGUCUUGGCCAAUUUGUAAACAGCAGCUUCGAAGCUUUCUGAUUCACUCAGGGUCUGAACAAAAAGACAAACCUGCAUGAGCAUCGCCAUGCGCGGCAGUCAUCCACGCAACUGAAGGACACAGGGUCCAGAGCACGCUCUCCGGCUCUGCGAGGCCAAGGCUAUCACCUUGAACGGCUCUGACCUCAUUUUCUUGUCAUCAGGGCUCCUGAGAUGGAGGAAGCCUCAAUGGAGAGCCGAGAGCACCAGGAUUUUUCUCACCAGAGAGAACGUUGACAUGUUCUCUCUGGUGAGAGAUUCACCUCAUCAAACAUAGGCUGCAUGAUUUCAAGGCGAGUCACCCUCACAAAGGUCCCCCUGUGUUUCUGCACUCACACGUUCUUCAGCAUCUAUGUCAUGAACACCUACUAUGUGCUAGGCACUGUGCUGGUGUGGGGAUAGAGCCGUGAAUACGAUGGACCCAGUGCUUGUGCUCCUCAAACGUCCAAGGAUGAACGUCAACAGGCCAUGGUGACAAAUGUCCUGAGUGUCAACAGAGGAGAAGGGGAUACUGUGCAAGUCACAGCAGGGGACCCAUCCUUACCCAGGCCAUUGAGGAGGCCUCCCAGGGAGGCGUCACGUGAGCUGAGGUCAGAGAGACAAACAGAAUUUAGAGGAGUGAAAGCGCUGGCCGCGGGGUGGAAGUACAGCCAUCCUGCUCACUCCUCCUGAGUGAUGGCGGGGCACGCUGCCAAGGGUGGGGAGAGGCUCCAACAAAAGGAUGAUUUAAAACGCUGGUGUCUGCAAAAGUGCCACCAUUCAAUGCCAUAAACCAUUAACCAUGGCAAGCUAUGCGGCAUUUCCCCUGCCUUACACCUACUGCCGUCAGGCUAGGGUAGUUAGACUUGGGUUGGUUUGUUCUGAGCUCAGCCACAUUCUAGGAGAGGCACUAGGAGGGGAUGGAAUAUGUUUUGGAUUAUGUCACCUGUAACAUCCCCCACCUACUGUCAAAGAAUCCAUCACGUCUAACAGAAUUCUAUGAGAACAAAGCAAAAGAACAUCAUAAGAAAUACCGAAGGCAGUGGUGACUGAUUUCAUUCACCCAAGUGGCACACUCAGGGGAAGACAGGUACUUUAUCUAGCUCAGGGAACGGGGGAAACAGGCAGGGACUGCUAAUGGGCACAGGGUUUCUCUUUAGAGGAAUGAAGAUAUUCUAAAACUGAUUGUAGUGAUGGUUGCACAACUCUGCAAAUAUACUAAAAGCCUGUGAGCUAUAUACUUUUU